CUAGUGAGUAGAAGUGUUGUGGUAGACUAGAGCCAGAGGUAACAGUGGGUUGAGGUGUAGUGGUAGACUAGUGGUUAGAAGUGUUGUGGUAGACUAGAGCCAGAGGUAACAGUGGGUUGAGGUGUAGUGGUAGACUAGUGGUUAGAAGUGUUGUGGUAGACUAGAGCCAGAGGUAACAGUGGGUUGAGGUGUAGUGGUAGACUAGUGGUUAGAAGUGUUGUGGUAGACUAGAGCCAGAGGUAACAGUGGGUUGAGGUGUAGUGGUAGACUAGUGGUUAGAAGUGUUGUGGUAGACUAGAGCCAGAGGUAACAGUGGGUUGAGGUGUAGUGGUAGACUAGUGGUUAGAAGUGUAGUGGUAGACUAGUGGUUAGAAGUGUAGUGGUAGACUAGAGCCAGAGGUAACAGUGGGUUGAGGUGUAGUGGUAGACUAGUGGGUUGAGGUGUUGUGGUAGACUAGAGCCAGAGGUAACAGUGGGUUGAGGUGUAGUGGUAGACUAGAGCCAGAGGUAACAGUGGGUUGAGGUGUAGUGGUAGACUAGUGGUUAGAAGUGUAGUGGUAGACUAGUGGUUAGAAGUGUUGUGGUAGACUAGAGCCAGAGGUAACAGUGGGUUGAGGUGUAGUGGUAGACUAGUGGGUUGAGGUGUAGUGGUAGACAGGUAGAUCAGUGACUUCAGGGGAAUCUGGUUGCUCUUAAAUGAUUCAAUAGUUGUAACUGAUCCUGUGUGUGUGUGUGUGUGUGUGUGUGUGUGUGUGUGUGUGUGUGUGUGUUUGGACAGAUUAAGCCCAUUCAGGUGUAUCACCCCCCUAUAUACUAGCUGCUUCUACUUAACACUACUUAACCCUAAAAUCUUCUUGCUGCUUCUUUUUGACACAACUUAACCCUAAAC
Long non-coding RNA from Oncorhynchus keta (chum salmon), 889 nucleotides. RefSeq lists it as uncharacterized. The record is from RefSeq and is a predicted model, not a curated record. NCBI's taxonomy places the organism in Eukaryota, Metazoa, Chordata, Actinopteri, Salmoniformes, Salmonidae. The transcript is spliced from 4 exons.